This 218-nucleotide unclassified non-coding RNA is filed under the name Hevea brasiliensis (rubber tree). The record is from RNAcentral. Lineage: Eukaryota; Viridiplantae; Streptophyta; Magnoliopsida; Malpighiales; Euphorbiaceae.
AAAAUAAUAAAUAAAUAAAUAAUCCAGGUCGCCAUUGUUUUUGUGCCCAGCAGGCACGUCCAUCUUUCUUUCCUCUUACCCAUUUUUGUCGCAUGUAAUUUGUUAAGAAUUUUCAACACAAUUCAUAAGCACAUCCGCGCCUGUCCUGAGUCAUAACUUUAGGAAGAUAAUGUCAAAAAUCAUUAAUUGUAACAGAAAUUUGAGUCCUCACUCCUCAG